UACGAAGGGGGCUAGCGUUGUUCGGAAUUACUGGGCGUAAAGGGCGCGUAGGCGGUCGUGACAAGUCACUUGUGAAAUCUCCGGGCUUAACUCGGAACGGUCAAGUGAUACUGUCGGACUAGAGUACAGAAGGGGCAACUGGAAUUCUCGGUGUAGCGGUGAAAUGCGUAGAUAUCGAGAGGAACACCUGCGGCGAAGGCGGGUUGCUGGGCUGAUACUGACGCUGAGGCGCGAAAGCCAGGGGAGCGAACGGG
RNAcentral lists this ribosomal RNA (254 nucleotides) under uncultured bacterium. Its description in RNAcentral is "partial 16S ribosomal RNA". It matches the Rfam family "Bacterial small subunit ribosomal RNA", at positions 524 to 776 of the family's 1533-position model. The record is from RNAcentral.